Molecule: ribosomal RNA, 370 nt
Filed under: uncultured bacterium
Lineage: Bacteria
Description: partial 16S ribosomal RNA
Rfam family: Bacterial small subunit ribosomal RNA
Source: RNAcentral
AUACGGAGGAUCCGAGCGUUAUCCGGAUUUAUUGGGUUUAAAGGGUGCGCUGGCGGCCAUUUAAGUCAGCGGUUAAAUCGUGGGGCUCAACCCCAUUCUGCCGUUGAUACUGGGUGGCUUGAUUGCGGUCGAGGUUGGCGGAAUUCGUUGUGUAGCGGUGAAAUGCAUAGAUAUGACGAAGAACACCGAUUGCGUAGGCAGCUGACCAGACCGCAAAUGACGCUCAUGCACGAAAGUGCGGGGAUCGAACAGGAUUAGAUACCCUGGUAGUCCGCACAGUAAACGAUGAAUACUUGUUUUCGGCGAUAUAAUGUCGGAGGCAAAGCGAAAGCGAUAAGUAUUCCACCUGGGGAGUACGCCGGCAACGGUG